This 253-nucleotide ribosomal RNA is filed under the name uncultured bacterium. RNAcentral's name for it is "partial 16S ribosomal RNA". It matches the Rfam family "Bacterial small subunit ribosomal RNA", at positions 524 to 776 of the family's 1533-position model. The record is from RNAcentral.
UACAGAGGAUGCAAGCGUUAUCCGGAAUGAUUGGGCGUAAAGCGUCUGUAGGUGGCUUUUUAAGUCCGCCGUCAAAUCCCAGGGCUCAACCUCGAGACGCCGGUGGAAACCAUCAGACUAGAGUCCGGAAGAGGAGAGUGGAAUUCCUGGUGUAGCGGUGAAAUGCGCAGAUAUCAGGAAGAACACCCGUGGCUAAGGCGGCUCUCUAGUACGGUACUGACGCUGAGACGCGAAAGCGUGGGGAGCGAACAGG